RNAcentral lists this non-coding RNA (27 nucleotides) under Mus musculus (house mouse). Lineage: Eukaryota; Metazoa; Chordata; Mammalia; Rodentia; Muridae. The record is from RNAcentral.
UCUAACUGGAUGCCUCUGAUGCAUGUC